CCUACGGGAGGCAGCAGUGGGGAAUUUUGGACAAUGGGCGCAAGCCUGAUCCAGCCAUGCCGCGUGUGUGAAGAAGGCCUUCGGGUUGUAAAGCACUUUCGGACGGAACGAAAUCGCGCGGGUUAACAGCCCGCGUGGAUGACGGUACCGUAAGAAGAAGCACCGGCUAACUACGUGCCAGCAGCCGCGGUAAUACGUAGGGUGCGAGCGUUAAUCGGAAUUACUGGGCGUAAAGUGUGCGUAGGCGGCGUCGCAAGUCGAGUGUGAAAGCCCCGGGCUUAACUUGGGAAUUGCGCUCGAAACUACGGUGCUCGAGUGUGGCAGAGGGAGGUGGAAUUCCACGUGUAGCGGUGAAAUGCGUAGAGAUGUGGAGGAACACCAAUGGCGAAGGCAGCCUCCUGGGCCAACACUGACGCUCAUGCACGAAAGCGUGGGGAGC
RNAcentral lists this ribosomal RNA (439 nucleotides) under uncultured Azoarcus sp. RNAcentral's name for it is "bacterial SSU rRNA". It matches the Rfam family "Bacterial small subunit ribosomal RNA", at positions 338 to 769 of the family's 1533-position model. Lineage: Bacteria; Pseudomonadati; Pseudomonadota; Betaproteobacteria; Rhodocyclales; Zoogloeaceae. The record is from RNAcentral.